Molecule: ribosomal RNA, 457 nt
Filed under: uncultured bacterium
Lineage: Bacteria
Description: bacterial SSU rRNA
Rfam family: Bacterial small subunit ribosomal RNA
Source: RNAcentral
AGAGUUUGAUCCUGGCUCAGAACGAACGCUGGCGGCGUGCCUAACACAUGCAAGUCGAACGGAGUGAAGGAGCUUGCUCUUUCAUUUAGUGGCGCACGGGUGAGUAACGCGUAGAUAAUCUGCCUUGGACUCUGGGAUAACAUCUCGAAAGGGGUGCUAAUACCGGAUAAGCCCACGAUGGCGUAAGUCAUUGCGGGAAAAGGGGGCCUCUGAAUAUGCUCCUGAUUCAAGAUGAGUCUGCGUACCAUUAGCUAGUUGGUAGGGUAAGAGCCUACCAAGGCGACGAUGGUUAGCUGGUCUGAGAGGAUGAUCAGCCACACUGGAACUGAGACACGGUCCAGACUCCUACGGGAGGCAGCAGUGGGGAAUUUUGCGCAAUGGGGGAAACCCUGACGCAGCAACGCCGCGUGAGUGAUGAAGGCUUUCGGGUCGUAAAGCUCUGUCUAGAGGGAAGAAA